Molecule: ribosomal RNA, 192 nt
Organism: Clostridium cadaveris
Lineage: Bacteria; Bacillati; Bacillota; Clostridia; Eubacteriales; Clostridiaceae
Rfam family: Bacterial small subunit ribosomal RNA
Source: Rfam
UAAAUUGAGAGUUUGAUCCUGGCUCAGGAUGAACGCUGGCGGCGUGCUUAACACAUGCAAGUCGAGCGAGGGAGCACCUUCGGGUGUGAACUAGCGGCGGACGGGUGAGUAACACGUGGGCAACCUGCCUUACAGAGGGGGAUAGCCUUCCGAAAGGAAGAUUAAUACCGCAUAUUAUGAUUUUUCUGCAUG